This 1082-nucleotide long non-coding RNA is filed under the name Monodelphis domestica (gray short-tailed opossum). RNAcentral describes it as "lncRNA (ENSMODG00000033590.2)". Lineage: Eukaryota; Metazoa; Chordata; Mammalia; Didelphimorphia; Didelphidae. The record is from RNAcentral.
CAGAGAAAGAGCAGGUAAAGUUGUGCAUGAUGGGCAAAGGAAUCUCCUGAGAUACUUCAGAGGGACCAGGACUGGAGUGAACAGCUGCAUUCAAGGGAGACUGAUUGCUCAGCCUCCACUCAAGAGGCUGCCCCAGGAGCAAUUAGGAGUUAGGAAUUAAGAGACUGACCAUGUCUAAUUGAGCAAAGCUGAGAGAGACCUACAUCAGAGGAGUGGAAUGAUGGACAAGCCAGUGUGGGAAGCAGAGAGCAUUAGUGGUUCCUGAGGCUUUCUCUCCCUACGUUGCCAUUGUGGUGAAUGGGCAGAGCUCUGGCUAAUCUUUUCCCUCCCAGUUUCUUCUUGAAGCUUGUGACUUCACCCCUCCUCCCUGAGUGGACUAUGAAGAUACUCUUGUUUUCUUUCUCAGAAUAGAUUCUCUCUGUGACAGAUUGAUUCUGUGGCCUUGACUUCCCAGAAGCCCUGUAAAAUCCUUGGAUGAGUGCUCAUGGGGAGAAGUUCUGGAGCCCUUGUCCCGACCAUUGGUCCCCAUCAGCUUGCUCCACUGGAGAAGGGAGGAGUAUGGUGGAAUGCACAUGAAUGCCAAAUUCCCUUUUCAUAUACCGAGAAGGAUUCUCCUCUAAAGAAAAUGGACAAGAAUGCUACCUACUCCCAUAGUUUUGCCUAUCUCACAGAGGAUGCUUCUCUUAAGAGUGGAAAGAUCCAUCACCAGAGUAGAUGCUUUCUCUUUAUUCCAUCUGGUUAUGACAAGAAGACCAUUGGAUCUUAGCACUAAAACUCUGCAGAUAUUACAACCUGAUAUUCCUCUGCCUACCAGACAGAUUGAUGCUUUCAUCUGAUCUACUGAAUGCAGCCUUCAGACUUAGGGGCUCCUUCAUACACCCUGCUGAUGCUCUGUUGAGACUUCUGGCCCUCUCCAUCCACCCUAGAGCUGAAUGUUCACUUAUGUAUUAACUCCUUUGAUUAGACUGUAAGCUUCUUAAGAGUCAACAUGAUCUUGCCUUUCUUCUUUUUAUUUUGAUCCUUGGUACUUAGCACAGUGCUUGGCACAUAAUAAACACUUAAUAAACUUAAUAAAUGUUGCA